CAUCUUUUCUCCUUGAUCAGGUGCGGUACCGAUCAUUCGCUGUCCCCGUGGAAACGCAGCAGAGAUGGUCGCCGUGAAGUUGGAUAAGAAGCUGCGUGAGAACCUGCGGGACGCCAGAAACAGCCUCUUCACCGGAGACAACAUGGCCGCCGGACAGUUCAGUUUCCAGAGGCCUCUGUUUGUCCUGGCGGACCGUAACGUGGACAUGGCCACGCCCCUCCACCACACCUGGACCUAUCAGGCGCUGAUCCACGAUGUCCUGGUGAGCUGGUACUCCUCCGUCACUCCAUCACU
This is a long non-coding RNA of Etheostoma cragini (Arkansas darter), 294 nucleotides long. RefSeq lists it as uncharacterized. The transcript is spliced from 3 exons. The record is from RefSeq and is a predicted model, not a curated record. NCBI's taxonomy places the organism in Eukaryota, Metazoa, Chordata, Actinopteri, Perciformes, Percidae.